Molecule: non-coding RNA, 798 nt
Organism: Labeo rohita (rohu)
Lineage: Eukaryota; Metazoa; Chordata; Actinopteri; Cypriniformes; Cyprinidae
Source: the annotation of a RefSeq genome assembly
UAUUCACAUAUAGUCAAUAUUUGUUGGGUAAAAUGAAAAAGGAGGUAUGUGUGGGAGGAGCUCAAGGUUUUGUCAGCUUCAGCAGAAGAAAUCAUUGAGACAACACUAACACACCUUCAUUAAGAAGUCUGAACUCAAACUACCGAAACAUGUUACUCAUCUUUACUUUUUUAAUUUUUAUCCCCAGUUACUGUGAGUCUGGGGAUGUCAUCAGACCAAACCAACCAUCUGUAGUUUUCACUGAAGGAAGCAACACCACUCUGUCCUGUACAUAUGAUGGAUCAGCUUACAGUCUCCAUUGGUAUCGGCAGAAGCCUGGAUCAAACCCAGAGUUUCUGCUGCUGAUUGAUGAGUCUUUCAAGCGUGUCACCGAAGCUGACCAACCUCAUCCACAUAUGUCCAUCAGACUCCAUGAUGAUAAACGUGUGGAUCUGGAGAUCUCCUCUGCUGCUGUAUCAGACUCUGCAUUGUAUUACUGUGCCCUGGAGCCCACAGUGACAGGAAAACUCUCUAGACUGUAUAAAAACCUGUUUCUUGCAUACUGUAUAAUCAUAUAUUUAAGCUUCCCCUUAAAUUAAGUUGUUUUCCUCCUCAUUUCCUUAUAAGGUGGUCUUUCUCUGAGAACUACUGUAGUCUACCAUUUUACCAAAUGUUAUGCACCAUUUACAUGUUAUUUAUUGGGUAUUUAAGGCCACUAAUACAAUACAAAACACAUUGUAAUGUCAAGUUGUGUUAACCAGUACACCAAAGUAUCAACCCACAUGCUAGAAAAACAUUCCUUUAUGAAAAAUCUGGAAA